UUUGCCUGCUAUCUCUUACCCAUGUCUUUUGAGUACUUACGUUUCCUCGGCGGGUUCGCCCGCCGAUUGGACAAUUUAAACCAUUUGCAGUUGCAAUCAGUGUCUGAAAAACUUUAAUAGUUACAACUUUCAACAACGGAUCUCUUGGUUCUGGCAUCGAUGAAGAACGCAGCGAAAUGCGAUAAGUAGUGUGAAUUGCAGAAUUCAGUGAAUCAUCGAAUCUUUGAACGCACAUUGCGCCCCUUGGUAUUCCAUGGGGCAUGCCUGUUCGAGCGUCAUUUGUACCUUCAAGCUUUGCUUGGUGUUGGGUGUUUGUCUCGCCUCUGCGUGUAGACUCGCCUUAAAACAAUUGGCAGCCGGCGUAUUGAUUUCGGAGCGCAGUACAUCUCGCGCUUUGCACUCAUAACGACGACGUCCAAAAGUACAUUUUUACACUCUUGACCUCGGAUCAGGUAGGGAUACCCGCUGAACUUAAGCAUAUCAAUAAGCGGAGGAAA
This 497-nucleotide ribosomal RNA is filed under the name Leptosphaerulina trifolii. RNAcentral describes it as "eukaryotic LSU rRNA". The stretch from base 125 to 278 matches the Rfam family "5.8S ribosomal RNA". Lineage: Eukaryota; Fungi; Ascomycota; Dothideomycetes; Pleosporales; Didymellaceae. The record is from RNAcentral.